Molecule: long non-coding RNA, 393 nt
Organism: Ochlerotatus camptorhynchus
Lineage: Eukaryota; Metazoa; Arthropoda; Insecta; Diptera; Culicidae
Exons: 3
Source: RefSeq, a predicted model, not a curated record
CCAGAAAAAACUCCCAGAUUGACGAUUGACGCAAAUUCCGUUUGAAACCCUUCUGGCCGACCUCAUAAGCUGAUGCAAACUUCUUGAACUCAUUCCAUCUUCAUCAACGACGACCCUACCGGACUGAUGAGAUGACGAUGAUGAUAAGAUGCUGUAAAAUUUAUCCUCUCUGACGAAGGAAUCACAGCCUUUGGACAACAUUGAUGACCUAUGGACUACAUCUUCACACGUGCCAUAAUGCUACACGUGUUAGUACGGAAUCACCCAAAAGAACGACGUGGAGUCUUUUUUCCCGGACGGAUAACGCUGGCUGAAAAAACUCCCAGAUUGACGAUUGACGCAAAUUCCGUUUGAAAACCUUCUGGCCGACCUCAUAAGCUGAUGCAAACUUCU